CCACGGCUAACUACGUGCCAGCAGCCGCGGUAAUACGUAGGUGGCAAGCGUUAUCCGGAAUUAUUGGGCGUAAAGCGCGCGCAGGUGGUUUCUUAAGUCUGAUGUGAAAGCCCACGGUUCAACCGUGGAGGGUCAUUGUAAACUGGGAGACUUGAGUGCAGAAGAGGAAAGUGGAAUUCCAUGUGUAGCGGUGAAAUGCGUAGAGAUAUGGAGGAACACCAGUGGCGAAGGCGACUUUCU
Molecule: ribosomal RNA, 240 nt
Filed under: Bacillus subtilis
Lineage: Bacteria; Bacillati; Bacillota; Bacilli; Caryophanales; Bacillaceae
Description: partial 16S ribosomal RNA
Rfam family: Bacterial small subunit ribosomal RNA
Source: RNAcentral